This 768-nucleotide ribosomal RNA is filed under the name uncultured bacterium. RNAcentral describes it as "bacterial SSU rRNA". It matches the Rfam family "Bacterial small subunit ribosomal RNA", at positions 62 to 842 of the family's 1533-position model. The record is from RNAcentral.
UUGAGCGGAGAUAUAUGGAGCUUGCUUUAUAUAACUUAGCAGCGAACGGGUGAGUAACACGUAGAUAAUCUAUCCUAUACUGGGGGAUAGCCCGAUGAAAGUUGGAUUAAUACCGCAUAUAGCUAUAUAGUUGCAUGAUUAUGUAGUGAAAGAUUUAUUGGUAUAGGAGGAGUCUGCGGCACAUUAGCUAGUAGGUGAGGUAAAGGCUUACCUAGGCGACGAUGUGUAGCCGGUCUGAGAGGAUGAACGGCCACAAUGGAACUGAGACACGGUCCAUACUCCUACGGGAGGCAGCAGUGGGGAAUAUUGCACAAUGGGGGAAACCCUGAUGCAGCAACGCCGCGUGAGUGAAGAAGGUUUUCGGAUUGUAAAGCUCUGUUAGCAGGGAAGAGGAAGGACGGUACCUGCAGAGGAAGCCACGGCUAACUACGUGCCAGCAGCCGCGGUAAUACGUAGGUGGCAAGCGUUGUUCGGAAUAACUGGGCGUAAAGGAUGCGUAGGCGGUUAAACAAGUUAUAUGUUAAAUAUAUAGGCUUAACCUGUAGAAAGCAUAUAAAACUGUUUAACUAGAGUGCAGGAGAGGUAAGUGGAAUUCCUAGUGUAGCGGUGAAAUGCGUAGAGAUUAGGAAGAACACCAGUGGCGAAGGCGACUUACUGGACUGUAACUGACGCUGAGGCAUGAGAGCAUGGGGAGCAAACAGGAUUAGAUACCCUGGUAGUCCAUGCUGUAAACGAUGGGUACUAGGUGUGGGUUGUGAAUAACAAUUC